ACGGUACGCGCCUCUUGUCGGGUACAAGAAGCCUUGGUCCAACUCUGGCUGGUUGGGCAAACUGUUUGGCGGUAAGAGUGAUUCCCACCUGACCAUGGCGUCGACCACUGGAAACGACAGGAUGGACAGUAUCAAGCGGGAUCUGCAAGCGAGGCAGCACAAGUACUUCUUUCGCCAUCAACCUGUACAACUCGUUUGACGUUAUCCCUGAUAUCUUUGCGACACUCUUCCGAGCAGCUGCCAUCUUGGGGCUACCACAAUGUCUUUGUCUCCAUUUUACGAAAAACGGUUCCAACGACCAGAACAAAGGCACUCCUUGAAGAUUUUUGGAUGCCCUCGCGCGAACGGUCGGUCUGAGGAUCAUCAUCCGAACAUCUAUGCGUACCCGCGGUCUGUUCAACCAUCGUAUCGAAUACCUCGCCGAAGUUCGAAACGCCGCCAUGCUGCCCCUCCACGAGCUUCGUGACAAUGACGGAGAAGUCUUUGACUCGGUCGUUUUCAUGAAUGAUAUCUUGCCUUGCGUGGACGACUUGCUCGAGUUGAUUUGGCAGAGUAGGAGACAGAAUGGGUUUCGGUAUGUAAUCGAUCCCUCUCUUCCCAUUGCUUCAUAUACCACCGAUGUGACUUCCGAAUUUGUGCGCUGUUCUUGAGCUACGGUAGCUAACAACUAUGUGAUAGGUCGUAUUGGUCGAAUUGUUCUCAGGUAUGCUUUUAAAUCAACGGGGUAGGACGUCCAUGUAUCUAACAUUCAAGUUAGGAACGCCAUCGAGCAUGGAGAUCUCGAGGUUGUUGCUGUCAACGAGUGAGUGUCCCAAAUGUUGACCCAUUGGAUGAAUUACUAAAUUGUCCAUAGCCCUUUCAUUGACUUGGACUACAUGGUACGGUACUCCUGUCUGCCCAAUAACCUCGUUUAGUACUAACGCUAUUGCACAGGUCUACAUGUUCAAGUAUGACUCCGUAAGUCUUCGAUACUUCUAGCGCUCUAUAUGGCUUAUUAACCUGAUUCCCGACAGACUCAUGGUCGUUUUAAGGGCUCCGUCGAGGUUAAGGACGGUAAGCUUUACAUCAACAACAAGGCCAUUGCCGUCUUCGGUGAGAAGGACCCUGCCAAUAAGCCCUUGUUCUAUAGAUUUGUCUCUAACAUGUUGGGUCUCGGGGGGCUUCCUCUAGAGACUUGGAUGUAAGGGGCUUUACGCAUUCGCAUAACUUAUGAAGUGUGGAUGACUCUAGGAGGGGUCUGAGAAUGUGCUGUGCCAGCCAGGCUGAUAAUUGUUUAAUUGUUAGCUUGGACUUGUACACAGUCUCAUCAGUCUUCAGCUUGGGUCAUUGAUAUUCUGUAAGUCAAAACUUAUCGAUUCACUGUAGUAGGUUGCGGAGGACUUGAAAGUUCUCUCUGCAAUUGAGACACUUACCAGGCCAUCGCAAGUUGGCAGUGUACACUACUGAUUUUACGGUCGUGGGGGACUUGGGAGCUGGUGCUUGUGUCGCAUGAGGUAGAGUUGAUAUGGAUGGAUGGAAGAGAAGCAUAUGUAUGUCGUGGGGGACUUGGGGUAAGACGCCUUGCGGCAAGUAGAGUCAAACCAGUAGUGACUUCUUUUGGUCAUGGGGGACUUUGGUAAUGGUAGUGAGCCGGAAUAAGGGAUGGAUAAAUGUAGUAUGGAUGGUGACAGGGGGAGCAGCAGAGCGUACGCAGUGGGUAUGUAUAUAGUUGAAAAGGGAUGGGCAGUAGAAUUUUGAGGAAUUAAUGACCUAAGGGUGGUUCUAAUAGGCUUGUCAAGAAAAAAGUUAAGUUGAAUCAAGCUGGGUCAAGCAAAGUCUAGAAAAGAUUUAUUGGUAAGUAUCAGCUGAUAUCCUGCUCAUAUCGAAAACGUACUUUUUAAUGUACUAACUCUAAUCCAGACUGGCAUGGUUUGCGGCAGCUUGGCACGGCUUUCAUGGACGGUGUCCCUGGUAUAACACAGGUAAGAAUCCUUAGGAACCACAGGAAUCGGUCAACUUAUAAACUGCAUAGUGUCCUAUUCCGCCUGGAAGCUCAUUUACCUACCAAUUCACCGUAAGCCAUCAAUCAGGCACGUUUUGGUGGCAUUCCCAUUAUUCCAAUUCCAUGGCCGACGGCAUUUGGGGCCCGUCAGUUUUCCUGACUUUUGAUAACAAGUUAUCACAGCUGAUAGGAUACCAUAGCUUAAUUAUCCAUUCGCCCAAUGAACCCCUCCAAAGGGGACGAGACUAUGACGAGGAUCGAAUCGUUUUUAUAACUGACUGGGUGUAAGUAUGACCGUUCUUUGGUGAGGCUCAAGCUAAACAUGUUACUUGGAUUAGAAAUGCCACUGUAAGUUGCAAUAUCCUCGUCACCAAAAUGUGGAACAUUACUUAUGAUCAUUCCCGGCUAGACUGGUUUAGGUUCCGGUGAACGAGCCUACAUUGAGGCUCGUGAGAAACUUGUCCAACCUGUAAUCGAGCAGAUGAUGGCUGCCCGAGGGCUCGAAACUCCUCCCCGGACACCUAACAUCGGUGUCGCCUUGGCCGGCGGUGGUUACCGUGCAAUGCUGUGAGUGGAUUAAUGUUGCAAAAGAUAUGCUCAUUACUUAUCAUUGGCACAGUACGGGGUUGGGUGGUAUCAUGGGCAUGAUGAAUGAGAGCACGGAAGCGUCCGAAAGCGAGACUGGUGGUUGGCUUGACGGCGUAAGCUACUGGGCUGGUCUGAGCGGUGGGAGUUGGGCAACCGGGACUUUCAUGUCUAAUGGGGGUCAGUUGCCCACAAAUCUUCUUGAAAACGUGGGUUUCUGGCAUGAUGUAUGUGUUCAUCUACUGACUUGCGUGAUAGCUCUGGAACAUCGAUCGCUCACCGCAGGUCCCCUUCCUUCCUCUGUCUCUCCCACCUCUCGGGUCUCCGCGCUCUCCCGCCCAUCCUCCUCCCCUAUCUUAUUGCGCAAUUCAUGAAACCACGCCGGUCUUCUUACUCGGCACAACUCCACCGAUCACACAUCCACGUGCUCGCCUCAUCGCCCCUACGAUGUUUCAUCCAAACAAUGCGAAAUAACCAUUAUAGGCUGUUGUUGUCCUCAAGGGUGAAUCCUACGUCCACGGCACUGUAUGCUUCACCCAGGAGUCGGAAAAUGCUCCCGUUUGCAUCACUGGUGAGGUACGUCAUUGGAUUCAUCGUGGAGUAACAUCCGGUCGCUGACAUGAUAAUCACUGAUCAGAUUAAGGACAUGGACGCUGACGCCAAGCGAGGCAUGCACGUCCACGAGUUUGGAGACAACACCAACGGCUGUACCUCUGCUGGCCCCCAUUACAACCCCUUUAAAAAGCACCACGGUGCUCCCACCGACUCCGAGAGGCACGUUGGUGACCUCGGUAUGUGCCCAUUGUCAUUUUCGGCAACUUUACCUUGAAGUCCGGCCGGUGAGCCAUAUCGAGCAAUUCAUAGUCCAAUCGAAUCUGACAUGUGUCCAGUCAAUCCCCUUACUUCUUCAAUGCCGGUCUCCUUUAUUCUUCAUCACUUCUCUCAACUACGGCCCAGGCUUACGCCAAGGUACUUUCCUCUUCUAGGAUUCCCGACUUUGACGUCCUCUUUGGCCCUGCUUACAAGGGUAUCUCCUUGGCUGCUGUCUCCGCUGUAAGCCUUUACCAGCAGACCGGCAAAGAUAUCGGUUACUGCUACAACAGGAAGGAGAAGAAGGACGUAAGUCUGUCCUGACCAGUGCGACAGCGAUUAGCUCAUAGCCAGCAGCAUGGUGAGGGCGGUACUAUGGUCGGUGCACCUCUCAAGGGACGAAUCGUCAUCAUCGAUGAUGUUCUCACCUCUGGCAAGGCCAUUCGUGAAGCUAUUGACAUUCUCAAGGCCUCUCCUGAAGCGAAGCUCGUUGGAAUUGUCCAGCUUGUCGACAGACAAGAGAAAGGCCAGAGCGGUAGCGGCAAGAGUACCGUACAGGAGGUUGAGGAAGAGUUCGGUGUGCCCGUCGAGCCUAUCAUUGGUUUGGAUGAUAUCGUGAAGUACUUGGAAAGCUC
This 4011-nucleotide ribosomal RNA is filed under the name Cryptococcus neoformans. RNAcentral describes it as "partial 28S ribosomal RNA". The record is from RNAcentral. Lineage: Eukaryota; Fungi; Basidiomycota; Tremellomycetes; Tremellales; Cryptococcaceae.